AGGAAUAUUGGUCAAUGGGCGGGAGCCUGAACCAGCCAAGUCGCGUGAGGGAAGACGGUCCUACGGAUUGUAAACCUCUUUUGCCGGGGAGCAACGGGGUCCUUGCGAGGGCCCAAUGAGAGUACCCGGAGAAAAAGCAUCGGCUAACUCCGUGCCAGCAGCCGCGGUAAUACGGAGGAUGCGAGCGUUAUCCGGAUUUAUUGGGUUUAAAGGGUGCGUAGGCGGGCUGUUAAGUCAGCGGUAAAAAUUCGGGGCUCAACCCCGUCCGGCCGUUGAAACUGGGGGCCUUGAGUGGGCGAGAAGAAGGCGGAAUGCGUGGUGUAGCGGUGAAAUGCAUAGAUAUCACGCAGAACCCCGAUUGCGAAGGCAGCCUUCCGGCGCCCUACUGACGCUGAGGCACGAAAGUGCGGGGAUCGAACAG
RNAcentral lists this ribosomal RNA (421 nucleotides) under uncultured bacterium. RNAcentral's name for it is "bacterial SSU rRNA". It matches the Rfam family "Bacterial small subunit ribosomal RNA", at positions 357 to 775 of the family's 1533-position model. The record is from RNAcentral.